AUAAGGUCCCACUAUCUUGCCCAGGCUUGGUCUUGAGUUUGAGACCAGCCUGGGCAACAUAGUGGGACCUUAU
This is a non-coding RNA of Papio anubis (olive baboon), 73 nucleotides long. The record is from Rfam. NCBI's taxonomy places the organism in Eukaryota, Metazoa, Chordata, Mammalia, Primates, Cercopithecidae.